RNAcentral lists this ribosomal RNA (483 nucleotides) under uncultured bacterium. RNAcentral's name for it is "partial 16S ribosomal RNA". It matches the Rfam family "Bacterial small subunit ribosomal RNA", at positions 30 to 507 of the family's 1533-position model. The record is from RNAcentral.
UUGAACGCUGGCGGCAGGCCUAACACAUGCAAGUCGAGCGGAUGAAGGGAGCUUGCUCCUGGAUUCAGCGGCGGACGGGUGAGUAAUGCCUCGGAAUCUGCCUGUUAGUGGGGGAUAACGUCCGGAAACGGGCGCUAAUACCGCAUACGUCCUGAGGGAGAAAGUGGGGGAUCUUCGGACCUCACGCUAUCAGAUGAGCCUAGGUCGGAUUAGCUAGUUGGUGGGGUAAAGGCCUACCAAGGCGACGAUCCGUAACUGGUCUGAGAGGAUGAUCAGUCACACUGGAACUGAGACACGGUCCAGACUCCUACGGGAGGCAGCAGUGGGGAAUAUUGGACAAUGGGCGAAAGCCUGAUCCAGCCAUGCCGCGUGUGUGAAGAAGGUCUUCGGAUUGUAAAGCACUUUAAGUUGGGAGGAAGGGCAGUAAGUUAAUACCUUGCUGUUUUGACGUUACCAACAGAAUAAGCACCGGCUAACUUCGUG